CGGGUAGAGUAACACGUAAACAACCUGCCUUCAGGAUGGGGACAACAGACGGAAACGACUGCUAAUACCGAAUAAGUUCCAAGAGCCGCAUGGCCCAUGGAAGAAAAGGUGGCCUCUACCUGUAAGCUAUCGCCUGAAGAGGGGUUUGCGUCUGAUUAGCUGGUUGGAGGGGUAACGGCCCACCAAGGCGACGAUCAGUAGCCGGUCUGAGAGGGUGACCGGCCACACUGGGACUGAGACACGGCCCAGACUCCUACGGGAGGCAGCAUG
Molecule: ribosomal RNA, 270 nt
Filed under: uncultured bacterium
Lineage: Bacteria
Description: partial 16S ribosomal RNA
Rfam family: Bacterial small subunit ribosomal RNA
Source: RNAcentral